AUGGCGGCACCGAGGCAAGUCCCCAGCCACAUAAUGCCCCGCAAGCCCAGCUGCUCUACGAACUCGUCGUUUACCCGGACGCCGGUGUCCACCGUGUCUCUCGAGUCCCGGGAGCUGCCUGUCUCGCCGUGGCAGGUCGCCGAGCCGUCGAGCAAGAGUCUGUGGGAGCAGAUAUGCGAGGAGUAUGAAGCUGAGCAGCCUCCCUUUCCAGAAGGAUAUAAAGUCAAACAGGAGCCUGUGAUUACGGUUGCGCCAGUAGAGGAAAUGCUUUUUCAUGGCUUCAGUACAGAGCACUAUUUUCCAGUUUCCCAUUUCACCAUGAUCUCACAUACACCCUGUCCUCAAGAUAAAUCGGAAACAGUCAACCCAAAAACAUGUUCUCCCAAAGAAUAUUUGGAAACUUUCAUCUUUCCUGUUCUGCUUCCCGGAAUGGCUAGUCUGCUUCACCAAGCGAAGAAAGAAAAAUGUUUUGAGAGGAAAAGAACCAAAUUCAUUGCCUGUGAUUUUCUGACCGAGUGGUUAUACAACCAAAAUCCAAAGAGGGCAGGGGAGCCAUUCACAGAAUUUUUCUCCAUUCCGUUUGUGGAGGAGUGGCUAAAGCAACACCCACGGCCGCCAAUCACACUCUCCCUCCUGCUGACAGAAGAGGAAGCAGCCCUCUACAUUCAAUCCUUCUGGAGAGCCUAUGUGGAAAUAUGGAGAAUAGGCAAAUCCAGAGAGACUGUGGAUCUAAAGACACAGAGAGGCUGUGGAGACUACAGCAGGUUCGCUGUGAUCCUGAGAUUCAAGAACUGCGUCAGUGGCAGAAGAAACUUCGCGAGGCCAAGCACAUUCACCAGCGAGUCAAAAUUUUCUGGGCCAAGCAAGAACAAAAAGGACGGAAGCGGUGUGAAGUUAUCUUCAAGUCUCUAUCCAUCAGGACAGAUACAGAAAUUAUUUUAAAACGUGUAUGAUGUCCCCAACUUGUCCCUAGAGAGCCAGCCUGCAGGUCUGAAGUUAUGCCUGAUGCUGGCUGCACUAGUUGACCUGCGUACCUCCCUGGGGGGAUCCAGGGCAGGCCCGCUCCAUCUGACUGUGCGCACCUCUUCCCAACUCUGUUACAUUGUCAGGCUGCUGGCUUCCAAUAGGCUAUGGAAAUGGCAAAUGCUACAACUCGGGACUCUCCCCCAGUCCCUGUGAAAUGCAAAAUGGAGGAUGAUGCGGUACCUGCAGCCAAGAUGAAAAUUCCAUCAUCUUAACCAUAGCUAAGACUAUGCAACAAUCAGCCGGGGGAAAGAUAAAGGUACAUUAUAAAACACACGUUAAUGCAUUUAAUAAAUAUAUAUUAUCUAUCAAAA
This is an RNA transcript of Symphalangus syndactylus (siamang), 1337 nucleotides long. It is a transcript of the gene named IQ motif containing K, with no coding region annotated. The record is from RefSeq and is a predicted model, not a curated record. Lineage: Eukaryota; Metazoa; Chordata; Mammalia; Primates; Hylobatidae.